RNAcentral lists this ribosomal RNA (524 nucleotides) under uncultured archaeon. RNAcentral's name for it is "bacterial SSU rRNA". It matches the Rfam family "Archaeal small subunit ribosomal RNA", at positions 325 to 849 of the family's 1478-position model. The record is from RNAcentral.
ACGGGGUGCAGCAGGCGCGAAACGUCCCGCAAUGCCCGCAAGGGUGACGGCGGAAUUCGGAGUGAUUUCUCCGUUAGGAGGAAUCUUUUGCCAAGUCUAGACAGCUUGGUGAAUAAGUGGUGGGUAAGACGGGUGCCAGCCGCCGCGGUAAUACCCGCGCCACUAGUGAUAACCAUUAUUACUGGGUUUAAAGCGUUCGUAGCCUGUCUUGAAAGUUCUCGAUGAAAUCCCGUAGCUAACUGCGGGGCUUGUCGAGGAUACUGCAAGACUAGGGACCGGGAGAGGCCAAAAGUAUUCCUGGGGUAGGAGUAAAAUCCUAUAAUCCCAGGAGGACUACCUGUGGCGAAGGCGUUUGGCUAGAACGGAUCCGACGGUGAGGGACGAAAGCUAGGGGAGCAAAGCGGAUUAGAUACCCGCGUAGUCCCAGCUGUAAACGAUGCCCAUUAGACAUUGGCAGCCCCACGAGGACUGCCAGAGUCGUAGGGAAACCGUUAAAUGGGCCACCUGGGAGUACGUCGCAAGGC